UGAGGAAUAUUGGUCAAUGGGCGCGAGCCUGAACCAGCCAAGUAGCGUGAAGGAUGAAGGUCCUACGGAUUGUAAACUUCUUUUAUAAGGGAAUAAAGUCAUCUACGUGUAGGUGUUUGUAUGUACCUUAUGAAUAAGCAUCGGCUAACUCCGUGCCAGCAGCCGCGGUAAUACGGAGGAUGCGAGCGUUAUCCGGAUUUAUUGGGUUUAAAGGGAGCGUAGACGGGUCGUUAAGUCAGCUGUGAAAGUUUGGGGCUCAACCUUAAAAUUGCAGUUGAUACUGGCGUCCUUGAGUACGGUUGAGGCAGGCGGAAUUCGUGGUGUAGCGGUGAAAUGCUUAGAUAUCACGAAGAACCCCGAUUGCGAAGGCAGCCUGCUAAACCGCCACUGACGUUGAGGCUCGAAAGUGUGGGUAUCAAACAGGAUUAGAUACCCUGGUAGUCCACACGGUAAACGAUGGAUACUCGCUGUUGGCGAUAGACUGUCAGCGGCUUAGCGAAAGCGUUAAGUAUCCCACCUGGGGAGUACGCCGGCAACGGUGAAACUCAAAGGAAUUGACGGGGGCCCGCACAAGCGGAGGAGCAUGUGGUUUAAUUCGAUGAUACGCGAGGAACCUUACCCGGGCUUGAAUUGCAGACGAAUUGCUUGGAAACAGGCAAGCCGCAAGGCGUCUGUGAAGGUGCUGCAUGGUUGUCGUCAGCUCGUGCCGUGAGGUGUCGGCUUAAGUGCCAUAACGAGCGCAACCCUCGUGUCCAGUUACUAGCAGGUUAUGCUGAGGACUCUGGACAGACUGCCAUCGUAAGAUGUGAGGAAGGUGGGGAUGACGUCAAAUCAGCACGGCCCUUACGUCCGGGGCUACACACGUGUUACAAUGGGGGGUACAGCAGGCAGCUACCGGGCGACCGGAUGCCAAUCCCCAAAGCCUCUCUCAGUUCGGACUGGAGUCUGCAACCCGACUCCACGAAGCUGGAUUCGCUAGUAAUCGCGCAUCAGCCACGGCGCGGUGAAUACGUUCCC
Molecule: ribosomal RNA, 1017 nt
Filed under: uncultured bacterium
Lineage: Bacteria
Description: bacterial SSU rRNA
Rfam family: Bacterial small subunit ribosomal RNA
Source: RNAcentral